AGUAGUCCGAGUGCACGAGGAGUGUGGAUGUGUCGCUCUGCUUCUUCACGACAAAGGUGGGAAGGUGGGGAGUGGAGCCAUGAACUUGCCUCACCCCCCUCUGCCCGUGGCGAGUUGCAAGUGCGAUACAUCCUCAGACCUCUGCAGGCAGCCCUGUGAGUACAUUACCUUCAUUUAGAAAGAAAAUUUGAGGAAUGACAACAAAAACUAAGUCAGUGCCACUUUAAUGCUGCCUUCUCUAGCUGAACCUGCCCAAAAGAGGGUAGAAGUAGGUAGUUCAGCAUAGCCUGUCUGUGAUUUGUGCUGUGUGAUCCUGAGAAAAUUCUGCCUUGAUCUGGAAAAUACAUACUCUCUUCCCACCCUCUUUUCCUCCAUCCACUCUCCCUACAUCCCUCAUCCCCUAAAACCUGCUUUUGAGAUUGCCUUUGUGAAGCUAUUUGGACAUGGUCCUGGUCAACCUCUGUAAGUGGCUGUGCUUCAGAAGUGGGGUUGGAUGAGAUAACCUGCAGAGGUCCCUUGCAAUUUAUAGUAUUCCAUAAUUUGUGGUUCUUUGCAACACUAUGAGAUUAGGGUAACGUUAAUGUAAAGAUAACAGCAAUAUAUUUGGUGUUCCUCUUCUGGGAGCCCUCCUUGGUGCCUGGAUUUUUGGAUCACAAGUCUUCAAAGCAAGGGCUGUCCCACUGGUCUCUUUGCUUCUGUGCUUGCCUUUUUUAGUGCCGCGCUGCAGAGAGCUUGUACUUAUAUAAAUCUGAUAACAGUAGCAUAACCCUACCCACAGGAUUAGCUGUGCUCAUUUAAGGUGAGACAGCAUAUGAAUUCAUCCACAGCUAGUUACUUCAGUAGUUGCUUUUAAUCCAUAAUAAUAUAUGCCUUUUAUGUUGUGUGGCAACGUUACCAGCUUGCACAAGAUGGCCACAUUUUCCUCUGUAAAAAUGUGGUAAACGAGGUGGAUAUGUAUGACAGGUCUUGCAAGGUCUUGUGGUACUGAAAACCACAACCUUAGUGGAUUCCGUGGCUACUACCUAAUCUUGGAGUUGCCUAAAAUCCUUCAUCAUCACCCUGCUGACUUCUAAGGAGAGGAAUUUGAUGUUGUGCCUAUGGGUAUUCCCAGUCUGAGCAGCUGUCUUAUGCCUCCCUUCUGUGCCCCAUCUGGACCCAGAAAUGCAGUGUCCCUAGGACUUGGGAAGGUCACAGUAUGGUGGAAACAUUCUGCUUACUACUGCCGUGAUCAUAUUCUUUAUAAAGCAAAAAGUUACGUGGACUGGAUUAUGAAGGGCUGGAACUGAAUAUGCUUGGCUCUGAUGGGAAAGAAAAAUCCUCUGAAGAUUAUGAUCUAACAAUCUAUUUUAUAAGCAAUUUACUCUGAAGUUUUUUUGUUGUUUGAAAACUAACCAACAAACACCUUGUGACUGCAUCUAAAAGAGAAAAGACAUCAUGUUGAAGCUAAACUUUCUAAUGCAACUGAAAUGCAGAAGCAGUAAUUACCUAAACAACUAAAGCGUAACAAGCAGAACAAAAUGAAAUAGAAAUCCGAUGCCCCCUCAAGUCCUCCUAAACAGACAAGCAAUUUGAUAAGGAGGGCCCUUUAAAAACAUUUGCCAAGCCUCAGGAAGAAUAAAUGAAUGGAAUUUGAAGUUAGUGAAGUUCAAACGGGAAGUAAAUAACACAUUUUUAACAUGACAGCUGAAUAACCACUGAAGCAAAUUCCUAAUAUUUGUGGUCAGUUCUUCAUAUUUGAAAGCUUCAUAAUGGUGUUUAUGAACUUAGAGGACAAGGUGCAGGAAUUUAAAGUCUAACCUCUAAUGUGACUGACAUUAGGCAGGAUGACAUUAGCGAGAAUGUUUAUCAAACUGCUUCCAUCUGGGCUUAAAAUAUCAUAAAUAUAAACUGCAAAAUCACAUGAACACUUGGAAUUCAAAAACUAACUGUUAGAAAAGGGAUAUAUAAGCCCCAUGAUAUUCAAUUCCCUUAGGGUAAUUAGGAAAGCAGACCGAGCUACAUAUCCUACUGAGUUUUAUGAGCAAGUAUAUCUUGGAGUUGUAUGAGCUUGAACUUGAAAUAAACUUUCAGCUAAUAACUCGGGGCUUCAGAUUAAAAGAGCUUUUCAAUAGAGAUUUAUCUUUGCUGAAAUAAUACUGAAGUUUCUUAACAAAAGGAAUGAGACAAGUGAAUGUCUGAGCAAUUAUUUGGCAUUUCUAAUGAGGAGAUGCCAAUUGUAAAAGAUAUAGGAAAAUUAAAAAUAAAUUGGGAGCAAUAAUA
Non-coding RNA from Anas platyrhynchos (mallard), 2259 nucleotides. The record is from RefSeq and is a predicted model, not a curated record. Lineage: Eukaryota; Metazoa; Chordata; Aves; Anseriformes; Anatidae.